Molecule: ribosomal RNA, 1445 nt
Filed under: uncultured bacterium
Lineage: Bacteria
Description: bacterial SSU rRNA
Rfam family: Bacterial small subunit ribosomal RNA
Source: RNAcentral
GAGUUUGAUCCUGGCUCAGGAUGAACGCUGGCGGCGUGCUUAACACAUGCAAGUCGAACGAACCUUCGGGUUAGUGGCGGACGGGUGAGUAACGCGUGGGAAUCUGCCCUCAGGAGGGGGAUAACGGCUGGAAACGGCCGCUAAUACCCCAUAUGCCGAGAGGUGAAAUGAAUUUCGCCUGAGGAUGAGCCCGCGUCUGAUUAGCUAGUUGGUGAGGUAAGAGCUCACCAAGGCAUCGAUCAGUAGCUGGUCUGAGAGGAUGAUCAGCCACACUGGGACUGAGACACGGCCCAGACUCCUACGGGAGGCAGCAGUGGGGAAUUUUCCGCAAUGGGCGAAAGCCUGACGGAGCAACGCCGCGUGAGGGAUGAAGGCCUCUGGGCUGUAAACCUCUUUUCUCAAGGAAGAAGAUCUGACGGUACUUGAGGAAUAAGCCACGGCUAAUUCCGUGCCAGCAGCCGCGGUAAUACGGGAGUGGCAAGCGUUAUCCGGAAUUAUUGGGCGUAAAGCGUCCGCAGGCGGCCCUUCAAGUCUGCUGUUAAAAAGUGGAGCUUAACUCCAUCAUGGCAGUGGAAACUGUUGGGCUUGAGUGUGGUAGGGGCAGAGGGAAUUCCCGGUGUAGCGGUGAAAUGCGUAGAUAUCGGGAAGAACACCAGUGGCGAAGGCGCUCUGCUGGGCCAUAACUGACGCUCAUGGACGAAAGCCAGGGGAGCGAAAGGGAUUAGAUACCCCUGUAGUCCUGGCCGUAAACGAUGAACACUAGGUGUCGGGGGAAUCGACCCCCUCGGUGUCGUAGCCAACGCGUUAAGUGUUCCGCCUGGGGAGUACGCACGCAAGUGUGAAACUCAAAGGAAUUGGCGGGGGCCCGCACAAGCGGUGGAGUAUGUGGUUUAAUUCGAUGCAACGCGAAGAACCUUACCAGGGUUUGACAUCCUGCGAACCUCUUGGAAACGAGAGGGUGCCUUCGGGAACGCAGUGACAGGUGGUGCAUGGCUGUCGUCAGCUCGUGUCGUGAGAUGUUGGGUUAAGUCCCGCAACGAGCGCAACCCACGUCUUUAGUUGCCAGCAUUUAGUUGGGCACUCUAGAGAGACCGCCGGUGAUAAACCGGAGGAAGGUGUGGAUGACGUCAAGUCAUCAUGCCCCUUACAUCCUGGGCUACACACGUACUACAAUGCUACGGACAAAGAGCAGCAAGUUCGCGAGGACAAGCAAAUCUCAUAAACCGUGGCUCAGUUCAGAUCGUAGGCUGCAACUCGCCUACGUGAAGGAGGAAUCGCUAGUAAUCGCAGGUCAGCAUACUGCGGUGAAUACGUUCCCGGGCCUUGUACACACCGCCCGUCACACCAUGGAAGUUGGCCACGCCCGAAGCCGUUACUCCAACCCUCGGGAGGAGGACGUCGAAGGUGGGGCUGAUGACUGGGGUGAAGUCGUAACAAGGUAACCG